Molecule: ribosomal RNA, 137 nt
Filed under: uncultured bacterium
Lineage: Bacteria
Also listed under: 1 other name
Description: partial 16S ribosomal RNA
Rfam family: Bacterial small subunit ribosomal RNA
Source: RNAcentral
UGGGGAAUUUUCCGCAAUGGGCGAAAGCCUGACGGAGCAAUGCCGCGUGGAGGUGGAAGGCCUACGGGUCGUCAACUUCUUUUCUCGGAGAAGAAACAAUGACGGUAUCUGAGGAAUAAGCAUCGGCUAACUCUGUG